GGGAUACCACGUUAAUAACACAGGUCAGAAUCGGAAUGGGUGGCGGAGGUGGCGGAGGAGGUGGAGGGAUCGACACCGGGACAGGGGUUUGGCCUGAAACUAGUGAAGAGAACAGUAAAUGAAAGAUAAGGAGUGCAGCUGUGAUAUGAUAUUUUGAAGCCAUAAUGUGUCUGCUACUAAAGGGCCUAAGAGCGGAGGAUUGAAGGAAUGAAGAGAUAACAUUGCUGGUUUGUCCGUG
Molecule: long non-coding RNA, 238 nt
Filed under: Spirodela polyrhiza (greater duckweed)
Lineage: Eukaryota; Viridiplantae; Streptophyta; Magnoliopsida; Alismatales; Araceae
Description: long non-coding RNA (SPOL_LNC000418)
Source: RNAcentral